RNAcentral lists this ribosomal RNA (431 nucleotides) under uncultured bacterium. RNAcentral describes it as "bacterial SSU rRNA". It matches the Rfam family "Bacterial small subunit ribosomal RNA", at positions 29 to 506 of the family's 1533-position model. The record is from RNAcentral.
GCGAACGCUGGCGGCAGGCCUAACACAUGCAAGUCGAACGGACCCUUCGGGGUUAGUGGCGGACGGGUGAGUAACACGUGGGAACGUGCCUUUAGGUUCGGAAUAGCUCCUGGAAACGGGUGGUAAUGCCGAAUGUGCCCUUCGGGGGAAAGAUUUAUCGCCUUUAGAGCGGCCCGCGUCUGAUUAGCUAGUUGGUGGGGUAAUGGCCCACCAAGGCUACGAUCAGUAGCUGGUCUGAGAGGAUGACCAGCCACAUUGGGACUGAGACACGGCCCAAACUCCUACGGGAGGCAGCAGUGGGGAAUCUUGCGCAAUGGGCGAAAGCCUGACGCAGCCAUGCCGCGUGUAUGAUGAAGGUCUUAGGAUUGUAAAAUACUUUCACCGGUGAAGAUAAUGACUGUAGCCGGAGAAGAAGCCCCGGCUAACUUCGU